Long non-coding RNA from Equus caballus (horse), 1553 nucleotides. NCBI's taxonomy places the organism in Eukaryota, Metazoa, Chordata, Mammalia, Perissodactyla, Equidae. The record is from Ensembl.
CAAAGUCUCCUUUAGCUGAUAAAUACUUUCAUUCAAGGCAAGGAACAUUUAUUUCAGAUAAUGUUCUUAUUCCUGGAGGAAAAGAAGAGGUAAAUUCUGAAGUGAAGAAUAUCCUGGGGAAACAGUUUGGCAAAUGAAAUGACAUUUUCCUGUUCUCAUUUAAUAUCAUAAAGGAAUAAAUAUGGGUAACGUGGAAUCAAGUAAAAGAAAAGAUUUUUGGAAUAAUAGAAUGUGAAAUCAGAGAAGUUCCUGAGAGAUCAGUAGCUCCAAUAUCCUUAUUUUCCUGAUAAGAUCUGAGAAGAGAAUUUCUUUGCCCAAAGUCUCCCUGAUGGUUAAUGGCAGAAUUGAAGCUAGAACCAAAACCUGAAACUCCCUAUUCACUGUCCUUUCUAAUCAGUUUUGCAGGACUCACAGUAUCUUUUUCCGAAGUCUGCCCCUAUUUAUCAGUGAACUUAUAUUCUCUUCUUCCAACUACCAUAUAGGGGACACAGUUCAUCCUCUAGUAAAAGAUGACAUGUCAAGUUUUGGUACAUAGAUGUCACCUAAGGAAGUCCAUGAUAGAAUUCAGGGUGUGUUGAACGUCAGUGGAAAAAUAUUUUCUUCUUAUCUUCAGGUGUCUCAUAUUCAAGUUACCUGUGCAAGACCCCUUGGAAUCCUCAGAAAAUUUUGAGGGAUGUAUUUCCUGGAAAUCACUUGACUCUCUGUUAGUCAACUUGAUGAGGCCUCAAGAUAUCAGAUUUGAAGGUAUGAUUGGAAAGCUGUAUGUCUUAGUUGCAGGUCUAAGUCGUAUGUUAAUCCCAGUUCCUCACGCCUACAAGCAAGCGCCAAGUACCGUGUCUGCUCCAUUGUAAGAAUGCAAUAAAUGCCAUUGGUUGCAGAAUGAGUCCGUGAGAGGACUCUCUGCUUGAAUGGGAGAAGAAAAAAAUGACACUGUAAGCCUGAAGAUGCCAUUACAAUUACCUAAACCAAAGAGGCUGAACCAGCCUCCAAGGUGCCAUGAAAGAAGUUCAGGCUUGUCUGCUGGAGACAGAGGCUGCUUAGAGGAACACUGAGGCUCCCCAUACGAGCUCUGCUUUCACGUGUGUUCUGUACUGAGAUGAUCACGAGUGCAUUUGAAAAAACAAGGAACUCAGAGCCUAAAUAAUGUGUCUUAGAAGUAUAACUUAUGGAACUCAGAAGAGAAGAAAGUAUUAUGUCAUGAAGUGAAUAAGUGAAGAGAAAUAGGCCUAAGAGUAUCCUUUAGCAAGUCUGAGGCGAAAAGAACAAGUUCUCCAUCUUUGGAAUUAAGGAGCGAGGAGUUAUUCCCAGAAGGCCAAGAGAAUGAGAAGAAGCGUUAUUGGUCUAUUCAAGAUUUUUCACCCUUCCUUGAACCAAGUUUGAGAAAUUUUACUGUCCUAGAAAUUCAUCAAAUGUGUGGAGACUUUCGAACUUAUUAACAAAUAGUGACUAGCAUUGUACAUUGAACUACUCUACAGAUAAAUCUUUGAUUUAUUUUCCUAACAAAAAGCAGCUCGCGUUCAACAGAGAAGCCACGAAAAGCACAGAAAAUCCCA